Molecule: ribosomal RNA, 1439 nt
Filed under: uncultured organism
Description: SSU rRNA
Rfam family: Bacterial small subunit ribosomal RNA
Source: RNAcentral
CUCAGGAUGAACGCUAGCUACAGGCUUAACACAUGCAAGUCGAGGGGCAGCAUGGUCUUAGCUUGCUAAGGCCGAUGGCGACCGGCGCACGGGUGAGUAACACGUAUCCAACCUGCCGUCUACUCUUGGACAGCCUUCUGAAAGGAAGAUUAAUACAAGAUGGCAUCAUGAGUCCGCAUGUUCACAUGAUUAAAGGUAUUCCGGUAGACGAUGGGAUGCGUUCCAUUAGAUAGUAGGCGGGGUAACGGCCCACCUAGUCUUCGAUGGAUAGGGGUUCUGAGAGGAAGGUCCCCCACAUUGGAACUGAGACACGGUCCAAACUCCUACGGGAGGCAGCAGUGAGGAAUAUUGGUCAAUGGGCGAGAGCCUGAACCAGCCAAGUAGCGUGAAGGAUGACUGCCCUAUGGGUUGUAAACUUCUUUUAUAAAGGAAUAAAGUCGGGUAUGGAUACCCGUUUGCAUGUACUUUAUGAAUAAGGAUCGGCUAACUCCGUGCCAGCAGCCGCGGUAAUACGGAGGAUCCGAGCGUUAUCCGGAUUUAUUGGGUUUAAAGGGAGCGUAGAUGGAUGUUUAAGUCAGUUGUGAAAGUUUGCGGCUCAACCGUAAAAUUGCAGUUGAUACUGGAUAUCUUGAGUGCAGUUGAGGCAGGCGGAAUUCGUGGUGUAGCGGUGAAAUGCUUAGAUAUCACGAAGAACUCCGAUUGCGAAGGCAGCCUGCUAAGCUGCAACUGACAUUGAGGCUCGAAAGUGUGGGUAUCAAACAGGAUUAGAUACCCUGGUAGUCCACACGGUAAACGAUGAAUACUCGCUGUUUGCGAUAUACUGCAAGCGGCCAAGCGAAAGCGUUAAGUAUUCCACCUGGGGAGUACGCCGGCAACGGUGAAACUCAAAGGAAUUGACGGGGGCCCGCACAAGCGGAGGAACAUGUGGUUUAAUUCGAUGAUACGCGAGGAACCUUACCCGGGCUUAAAUUGCAGAUGAAUUACGGUGAAAGCCGUAAGCCGCAAGGCAUCUGUGAAGGUGCUGCAUGGUUGUCGUCAGCUCGUGCCGUGAGGUGUCGGCUUAAGUGCCAUAACGAGCGCAACCCUUGUUGUCAGUUACUAACAGGUUCCGCUGAGGACUCUGACAAGACUGCCAUCGUAAGAUGUGAGGAAGGUGGGGAUGACGUCAAAUCAGCACGGCCCUUACGUCCGGGGCUACACACGUGUUACAAUGGGGGGUACAGAGGGCCGCUACCACGCGAGUGGAUGCCAAUCCCCAAAACCUCUCUCAGUUCGGACUGGAGUCUGCAACCCGACUCCACGAAGCUGGAUUCGCUAGUAAUCGCGCAUCAGCCACGGCGCGGUGAAUACGUUCCCGGGCCUUGUACACACCGCCCGUCAAGCCAUGGGAGCCGGGGGUACCUGAAGUGCGUAACCGCGAGGAGCGCCCUAGGGUAAAA